Oxyura jamaicensis (ruddy duck) is the source of this 227-nucleotide long non-coding RNA. RefSeq lists it as uncharacterized. The transcript has 3 exons. Lineage: Eukaryota; Metazoa; Chordata; Aves; Anseriformes; Anatidae. The record is from RefSeq and is a predicted model, not a curated record.
CAUUUUUUAUUAUUAUUUAAGUCUUAGUGGCAUAUAAACACAAUUCAAAUGAGUAAAAGCAUGCAAGUUCUGAUUAGCUUUCAGAAGACCAGUCACGAAGUGGCUGAUAAAUGAAAAUGUUCUUUGAACUGUAAAAGCCUGUCCAUGUCCUCUGUAAGUAUCCAAAUAUUUCAAUGUAAACACACAACAGAUUCCAGUAGUCUAAAAACUUGCAUUCAUUUUUGCAU